UACGAACUGUGCAAACGUUAUUCGGAAUCACUGGGCUUACAGGGUGCGUAGGCGGCUUACUAAGUAGGGUGUGAAAGCCCCCGGCUCAACCGGGGAACUGCGCCCUAAACUGGCGGACUAGAGUGAGAUAGGGGUGUGCGGAACUUCCGGUGGAGCGGUGAAAUGUGUUGAUAUCGGAAGGAACGCCGGUGGCGAAAGCGGCACACUGGGUCUCAACUGACGCUGAGGCACGAAAGCCAGGGGAGCAAACGGG
Molecule: ribosomal RNA, 253 nt
Filed under: uncultured bacterium
Lineage: Bacteria
Description: partial 16S ribosomal RNA
Rfam family: Bacterial small subunit ribosomal RNA
Source: RNAcentral